GGAAUAUUGGACAAUGGGCGCAAGCCUGAUCCAGCCAUGCCGCGUGCAGGAUGACGGUCCUAUGGAUUGUAAACUGCUUUUAUACAGGAAGAAACACUUGCUCGUGAGCAAACUUGACGGUACUGUAAGAAUAAGGAUCGGCUAACUCCGUGCCAGCAGCCGCGGUAAUACGGAGGAUCCAAGCGUUAUCCGGAAUCAUUGGGUUUAAAGGGUCCGUAGGCGGUUUAGUAAGUCAGUGGUGAAAGCCCAUCGCUCAACGGUGGAACGGCCAUUGAUACUGCUAAACUUGAAUUAUUAGGAAGUAACUAGAAUAUGUAGUGUAGCGGUGAAAUGCUUAGAGAUUACAUGGAAUACCAAUUGCGAAGGCAGGUUACUACUAAUGGAUUGACGCUGAUGGACGAAAGCGUGGGUAGCGAACAGGAUUAGAUACCCUGG
This 435-nucleotide ribosomal RNA is filed under the name uncultured Flavobacterium sp. RNAcentral describes it as "bacterial SSU rRNA". It matches the Rfam family "Bacterial small subunit ribosomal RNA", at positions 358 to 790 of the family's 1533-position model. The record is from RNAcentral. Lineage: Bacteria; Pseudomonadati; Bacteroidota; Flavobacteriia; Flavobacteriales; Flavobacteriaceae.